AUUGAACGCUGGCGGUAUGCUUAACACAUGCAAGUCGAACGAUGAGAAAGAGCUUGCUCUUUCGAUUAGUGGCGGACGGGUGCGUAACGCGUAGGAAUCUACCUAUUAGUGGGGGACAACUUAGGGAAACUUAAGCUAAUACCGCAUACGACCUGAGGGUGAAAGUGGGGGACCGCAAGGCCUCAUGCUAUAGGAGCGGCCGAUGUCUGAUUAGCUAGUUGGUGGGGUAAAGGCCUACCAAGGCGACGAUCAGUAGCUGGUCUGAGAGGACGAUCAGCCACACUGGGACUGAGACACGGCCCAGACUCCUACGGGAGGCAGCGGUGGGGAAUUUUGGACAAUGGGCGAAAGCCUGAUCCAGCAAUGCCGCGUGUGUGAAGAAGGCCUUCGGGUUGUAAAGCACUUUUGUCCGGAAAGAAAUGGCUCUGGUUAAUACCUGGGGUCGAUGACGGUACCGGAAGAAUAAGGACCGGCUAACUACGUGCCAGCCGCCGCUGUAA
RNAcentral lists this ribosomal RNA (500 nucleotides) under uncultured bacterium. Its description in RNAcentral is "partial 16S ribosomal RNA". It matches the Rfam family "Bacterial small subunit ribosomal RNA", at positions 30 to 523 of the family's 1533-position model. The record is from RNAcentral.